UGGGGAAUAUUGCACAAUGGACGGAAGUUUGAUGCAGCGACGCCGCGUGGAGGGUGUAGGCCUUCGGGUUGUGAACUCCUUUUUCUCGCGAAAAAGGCACAGUUUUGGCUGUGUUGAUGGUAGUGGGGGAAGAAGCGCCGGCUAACUACGUGCCAGCAGCCGCGGUAAUACGUAGGGCGCGAGCGUUGUCCGGAUUUAUUGGGCGUAAAGAGCUCGUAGGUGGUUCGUCGCGUCUGUCGUGAAAGCCAGCAGCUUAACUGUUGGUCUGCGGUGGGUACGGGCGGGCUUGAGGGCGGUAGGGGUGACUGGAAUUCCUGGUGUAGCGGUGGAAUGCGCAGAUAUCAGUAGGAACACCGAUGGCGAAGGCAGGUCACUGGGCCGUUACUGACACUGAGGAGCGAAAGCGUGGGGAGCGAACAGG
RNAcentral lists this ribosomal RNA (421 nucleotides) under Fusobacteriota bacterium. RNAcentral describes it as "Fusobacteria bacterium partial 16S ribosomal RNA". It matches the Rfam family "Bacterial small subunit ribosomal RNA", at positions 355 to 776 of the family's 1533-position model. The record is from RNAcentral. Lineage: Bacteria; Fusobacteriati; Fusobacteriota.